UACAGAGGUCUCAAGCGUUGUUCGGAUUCAUUGGGCGUAAAGGGUGCGUAGGCGGCGCGGUAAGUCAGGUGUGAAAUCUCGGGGCUCAACCCCGAAACUGCACUUGAUACUGCAGUGCUUGAGGACUGGAGAGGAGAUUGGAAUUCAUGGUGUAGCAGUGAAAUGCGUAGAUAUCAUGAGGAAGACCAGUGGCGAAGGCGGAUCUCUGGACAGUUCCUGACGCUGAGGCACGAAGGUCAGGGGAGCAAACGGG
Molecule: ribosomal RNA, 253 nt
Filed under: uncultured bacterium
Lineage: Bacteria
Description: partial 16S ribosomal RNA
Rfam family: Bacterial small subunit ribosomal RNA
Source: RNAcentral